RNAcentral lists this ribosomal RNA (522 nucleotides) under uncultured bacterium. Its description in RNAcentral is "partial 16S ribosomal RNA". It matches the Rfam family "Bacterial small subunit ribosomal RNA", at positions 355 to 864 of the family's 1533-position model. The record is from RNAcentral.
UGGGGAAUAUUGCACAAUGGGCGCAAGCCUGAUGCAGCCAUGCCGCGUGUGAAAGAAGGCCCUUCGGGGUUGUAAAAGCACUUUCAGCGAGGAGGAAGGUGGUGAGCUUAAUACGCUCAUCAAUUGACGUUACUCGCAGAAGAAGCACCGGCUAACUCCGUGCCAGCAGCCGCGGUAAUACGGAGGGUGCAAGCGUUAAUCGGAAUUACUGGGCGUAAAGCGCACGCAGGCGGUUUGUUAAGUCAGAUGUGAAAUCCCCGGGCUCAACCUGGGAACCGCAUUUGAAACUGGCAAGCUAGAGUCUCGUAGAGGGGGGUAGAAUUCCAGGUGUAGCGGUGAAAUGCGUAGAGAUCUGGAGGAAUACCGGUGGCGAAGGCGGCCCCCUGGACGAAGACUGACGCUCAGGUGCGAAAGCGUGGGGCAGCAAACAGGAUUAGAUACCCUGGUAGUCCAGCGCUGUAAAACGAUGUCGAUUUGGAGGUUGUGCCCUUGAGGCGUGGCUUCCGGAGCUAACGCGUUAAA